GAGGAAAAGAAACUAACUAGGAUUCCCUUAGUAACGGCGAGUGAACCGGGAUGAGCUCAAAUUUAAAAUCUGGCGUCUUUCAGGCGUCCGAGUUGUAAUCUAUAGAGGCGUUUUCCGCGCCGGACCGCGUCCAAGUCUCUUGGAAUAGAGUAUCAAAGAGGGUGACAAUCCCGUACUUGACGCGACAACCGGUGCUCUGUGAUACGUUCUCAAUGAGUCGAGUUGUUUGGGAAUGCAGCUCUAAAUGGGUGGUAAAUUCCAUCUAAGGCUAAAUAUUGGCGAGAGACCGAUAGCGAACAAGUACCGUGAGGGAAAGAUGAAAAGCACUUUGGAAAGAGAGUUAAACAGCACGUGAAAUUGUUAAAAGGGAAACGAUUGAAGUCAGUCGUGUGAAAGGUAUUCAGCCGUCUCUGGCGGUGUAUUUGCCUUUCACGGGUCAACAUCAGUUUGAUCCGGUAGAAAAAGGCGGGAGGAAGGUGGCACCCUCGGGUGUGUUAUAGCCUCCUGUCAUAUGUGCCGGACCAGACUGAGGAACGCAGCUUGCCGCAAGGCCGGGGUUCGCCCACGUACAAGCUUAGGAUGU
This 583-nucleotide ribosomal RNA is filed under the name Vishniacozyma victoriae. RNAcentral describes it as "partial large subunit ribosomal RNA". It matches the Rfam family "Eukaryotic large subunit ribosomal RNA", at positions 53 to 626 of the family's 3401-position model. The record is from RNAcentral. Lineage: Eukaryota; Fungi; Basidiomycota; Tremellomycetes; Tremellales; Bulleribasidiaceae.